This 315-nucleotide ribosomal RNA is filed under the name uncultured bacterium. RNAcentral's name for it is "bacterial SSU rRNA". It matches the Rfam family "Bacterial small subunit ribosomal RNA", at positions 28 to 350 of the family's 1533-position model. The record is from RNAcentral.
GACGAACGCUUGCGACGUGCCUAAGAAAUGCAAGUCGAGCGAGGUAGCAAUACCUAGCGGCGAACGGUCGCGUAACACGUAAGCAACCUGCCCCAAAGACCGGGACAACGUUCCGAAAGGAGCGCUAAUACCGGAUGUGCCCGACGGGUGACAUCGCCUGUUGAGUAAAUCGAGCAAUCGGCUUUGGGAGGGGCUUGCGGCCUAUCAGCUAGAUGGUGGGGUAACGGCCUACCAUGGCGACGACGGGUAGCUGGUCUGAGAGGAUGGUCAGCCGGAUUGGGGACUGAGAUACGGCCCAGACUCCUACGGGGGGCA